This 1263-nucleotide long non-coding RNA is filed under the name Marmota monax (woodchuck). The record is from RNAcentral. Lineage: Eukaryota; Metazoa; Chordata; Mammalia; Rodentia; Sciuridae.
CUCCAGGCCUGUGCAUGCAUCUGCAAUCUCCACCAACGCUGUUUAAAUGAGCAUCUGUUUACUCUAGGUGUGAAUAUGUAGCAGAGUCCCUCCCUUCUAGAGACAUGAAUGGGCUGUCUACACGCCUUUUCCUUCAAUGAACAAAUCAUUCAAUGUCUCAUCCACACAUUCAGCCUAUCGGAUUCUUCCCUAUCCUUCCCACACAGCCCAGAAAGGGAACAGUACUCAAGGUGGCACUAGCAGUUGACUGCCAGGAUUCACUCAAUCAUUUUUCUAUAUUCCCCUACCCCAAACCACUUCUGAAGGGAAGCAAAAAGAUAGUAAAACAUGUUACUGCUCUUCAGGAGAUGUCUCUGGACUAGUUCUCACAGAGGGUAGAAACACUAAGACACUAAGGAUGGUAAAGGUGGGCAGGGACAUCUAGGCAGGUAUGGGUAAGGGCACUCCUGGCCAGGUAAUUUGGCAGGACCUUGUCUGAGAAAGCCAUUAUGAUUUAGCACCUUAUGUAUACUUACAGUAUACCAAAAUCUCAGGGAGGGUCCCCUCUCAGGGAAAUGACAGGCAGGAAACAUAAUUUGAAGUAUUUUAAAUACUGAGCAGAAUAUAAAGCUUCUGUCCUUAGAGUUCAAGAAGCCCAUUGUAACAGGGGUGCAGUGGCAGAGCCAAAACAAAUGGGAACAAGGACAGACUUGAGUCCAGAGAUCUUCUGCACUUUGGACUCAGUACAAUUACAGAUGUUGUUUGUUCUCUAACCCCCAGGGGGGGAAAAACCCACUAAUACACAGAUAGGCACCACCUACUCAAUCAGUGCUGGAAUGACAGGUGUCCUUGAGGAGACUGUCCUCAGGAAGACCUUCCUGGGGAGUCUCUCACUAAGGUCUGGAGAAGGACAGAAAGAUUUGCUUUCAUGAGGGUGUCCCCAAGGCUUUAGAAUUAAGAUAAUUAGCAGACUUGCCUUCUGAUGGGAACAACAGUUGUCAAGUUGGGAUCAUAUGCCACACAGAAGUGGCAUAGCAGACUCUACAGACCAAAUUCUAUAUUAGGGUUCUCCAAAGAAAUGACACUCCCUUAGCAGAUGCACUCCUACCCUUCCUUUGCCCUCCACCCCACUUAGGCUCAUUCUUUUCCAAUACCACCCCUCUCCCCUAGGCUUCUCUUGGGGGAGUAUCUGAGGAAGAGACCUAUUCUAAGGGUCCCCUAUAUAUUGGGCCCAGAUCUCAGGGAGGGUCCCCUCUGAGGGAGAUGACAGGUAGGACAGACAGG